CAUAAACUUUUAGCUUUUGUACAUCUAUUUGUAAACGAUGCUGAAUAUCACAAAAAAGAAGGUUUAGCUAACUAAUAAUUUUUGCUUCAAUGGAUUGUAUAUAGAAGAUGAUUAUAGUCAAGCUUUGGAAAACAUUAUCACAAUAGAAUAUUAUGGCUUGCGUGACGACGAUUUUGGAAGCUGCUUUGUUGCCAUCUUUGCCCGCUAAAGAACUUCAAGGCAUCGGCCGCUCUCCUCAUCCUUCUCAUCAAAGUCAGUUCCUUUUCUACUCUCAUUCUUUAAUUAUUAUCCUCUUCGUCUUUCAAUUAAAAUUUUUGAGAACAACAAUGCCCAAUUAGGAAAAGCCAAUUUCAUCUUCUAGGAUUUUGCUUUGUGUUAUUUUAUAUUACUUGUGAAUAAUUAUUAGUUGGAAGUCUUGUUUAGUGUAGAAAAGCAAUGACUUCUUUUAGUAAUGAUAGUUUGGAAGUUGUGUUUGUUUAUGUGUUGGAA
This is a long non-coding RNA of Arabidopsis thaliana (thale cress), 489 nucleotides long. RefSeq annotates it as other RNA. The record is from RefSeq. NCBI's taxonomy places the organism in Eukaryota, Viridiplantae, Streptophyta, Magnoliopsida, Brassicales, Brassicaceae. The transcript has a single exon.